Molecule: ribosomal RNA, 253 nt
Filed under: uncultured bacterium
Lineage: Bacteria
Description: partial 16S ribosomal RNA
Rfam family: Bacterial small subunit ribosomal RNA
Source: RNAcentral
UACGGAGGGUGCAAGCGUUGUUCAGAAUCAUUGGGCGUAAAGCGCGUGUAGGCGGCUUGGCAAGUCGGUUGUGAAAUCCCGGGGCCCAACCCCGGAACUGCAUUCGAAACUGCCUCGCUAGAGUCCCGGAGAGGAAGGCGGAAUUCCCGGUGUAGAGGUGAAAUUCGUAGAUAUCGGGAGGAACACCAGCGGCGAAGGCGGCCUUCUGGACGGUGACUGACGCUGAGACGCGAAAGCGUGGGGAGCAAACAGG